GCUUUCCAGAACUUUCUAGGGAUCUCCUAAGAGGGCAAGCGGGUGGUACUUUCUGUAUUUUAAUAUUGUGUUAGAAUCUGGGACAUCUGAUUGCUGAAAUGAGAUGUUAGUUGGUACAGGCAGGGGUUUCCAGGACCGGCACGCCCUUGCGGAGUGCCUGCUGGAGGGAGCCGGUGUGUCCAGGACGCCCUUGCGGAGUGUCUGCUGGAGGGAGCCGGUGUGUCAGUGAGAUGGCUAUGCCCCUGGGCUGCUGCGUCCCAGGUUUCCUCAGUCUCUAACCCUUUGUUCUCACAGGGGAUGGACUCUUCCUUCUUUUCCCAACUCCACCAAGAGGGACCGUCCCAGGACGUCCUUCCCUGGGCAUCCGGCCCUACAGCUGCCUGAGGUCUCCAUCACCGUUGGCGCCAUCAGUCUGCUGUGCAGCCAGCUGUUGGUUUGGAGAGCCUGAAGAACUGCAGUUCACGUCUCAUCUAAAGGAGCUGAAAUGAUAUUGCAGCUUUCUCUUUUGGUUGCGUGCGGUGAGAAUCUGGGAGCUGAACCUGUUAUCUGCAUGGUCUUCAGAAAUCAGGCAAACUCGGAAAAUGCCAACGCCAAAAAUGCUGAUGGGUGACAAAGUGUCACAGGUGUGAUGCAUUACAAAUCUCAGGACUUUUGUUCACUGGAUUUGAAAGGUCAAGCUUCACAGGAAAAUGAUGAAGUCCCAAAAGACCAGAAAUAUAUUUCAGAAGAUGCCAGUUACUGCUUUAAAAUGUCAAACCAACAUUUCAGAAAUAACUUUCAAUGAUUAUUUCCUGCCAAGAAGGUGAACGCUGGAGACCUUAAUGGUGGAAGAUGGAGGGCGUCUUUCCUUCUGUUAAGCUGACAACUUGGCUUCCAUCUUGUGAGGACCUCACCCUACCUGGUGGCAGAGGACGUCUGACGCCCUCAAUCAUUGCCAUUACACUUCCCAGCCUGGUGGUCAGUCUCCUGGGGUCUGUGUGUUAACAAACCAUCGACUGGACAAUCGCAGUUUUCCUUAUGAAGGCUUACUUUAAAAAGGCUCUGGAUUUUCAGAAGUGAAGUCGCUUUCAUCCCCGAUUCAGACCCAUCCUCGUGGAGGAAAAAUCCUACCAGAAGAAGGGCUGACCAUAGGAACUUGCCAUUUCCUUGACCCCAUCAUAUCUGAGGAAAAAACAACAGAAAAGCCGUUGCCCGAGCCACGUGUUGAGGAUGACGGCAUCGCGUUCUUUCUGCCCAGGGUCGAAACCCACGUGUACCCCCAACGUCCUGAUUGACGACUUUGCCUGCAGCUUCUGCUUUCCUGAAAUUCGCUGCUGCCUUUAGAACCCUUGUCUGCAGCCAGUGGGGGGGAGUUCAGGACUUAGGCGGAGCUGCCCCACCCUCCUGCUUGGCACCUUGCAAAUACAUGCCCUCCCUUCCAUUGCUGCAGACCUCAGAGUGGGCGUCCGGUCUCCUGUGUGGGAUGAGAAUACACGCCCUCCUUUCAAUCGCUGCAGACCUCAGAGUGGACGUCCGGUCUCCUGUGCGGGAUGAGAAUACACACCUUCCCUUCCACCGCUGCAGACCUCAGAGUGGACGUCCGGUCUCCUGUGUGGGAUAAUACACGCCCUCCUUUCAAUCGCUGCGGACCUCAGAGUGGGCGUCCGGUCUCCUGUGCGGGACAAGAAUACACUCCUUCCCUUCCAUCGCUGCAGACCUCAGAGUGGACGUCCGGUCUCCUGUGGGGGAUGAGAUACACUCCUUCCCUUCCACUGCUG
This 1757-nucleotide long non-coding RNA is filed under the name Pan troglodytes (chimpanzee). Its description in RNAcentral is "long non-coding RNA NONPTRT015978". The record is from RNAcentral. Lineage: Eukaryota; Metazoa; Chordata; Mammalia; Primates; Hominidae.